GGAUUUUAGGGGGUGGAUGGAGGUACUAUAAAGUUUCACACUUUGUUGUCUUUGUUGAUCAACCCAACUGUGUUGCUUAUAUGAGUAAUCAAAUCCUUGAAUUACUUAUUUCAAAUGUCUUAUGCACAAGUAUUUCUGGUAUAAUCUCUUGUUAAUUACUCCUUUUUUGUUUAUGAACUUUCUGCAGCCAAAUGUACAGUCCAAG
RNAcentral lists this unclassified non-coding RNA (205 nucleotides) under Hevea brasiliensis (rubber tree). Lineage: Eukaryota; Viridiplantae; Streptophyta; Magnoliopsida; Malpighiales; Euphorbiaceae. The record is from RNAcentral.